Molecule: ribosomal RNA, 424 nt
Filed under: uncultured bacterium
Lineage: Bacteria
Description: bacterial SSU rRNA
Rfam family: Bacterial small subunit ribosomal RNA
Source: RNAcentral
UGGGGAAUAUUGGACAAUGGGGGCAACCCUGAUCCAGCAAUGCCGCGUGUGUGAAGAAGGUCUUCGGAUUGUAAAGCACUUUUGGCAGGGACGAUGAUGACGGUACCUGCAGAAUAAGCCCCGGCUAACUUCGUGCCAGCAGCCGCGGUAAUACGAAGGGGGCUAGCGUUGCUCGGAAUGACUGGGCGUAAAGGGCGCGUAGGCGGUUUAUACAGUCAGAUGUGAAAUUCCUGGGCUCAACCUGGGGACUGCAUUUGAGACGUGUAGACUUGAGUGGAGAAGAGGGUUGUGGAAUUUCCAGUGUAGAGGUGAAAUUCGUAGAUAUUGGAAAGAACACCGGUGGCGAAGGCGGCAACCUGGUCUUCAACUGACGCUGAGGCGCGAAAGCGUGGGGAGCAAACAGGAUUAGAUACCCCCGUAGUCC